GGAGGAGUGGCCGAGUGGCUUAAGGCGCCGGUCUUGAAAAUCGGUAGUGAAAACAUUCUAGAGUUCGAAUCUCUACUCCUCCG
This 83-nucleotide transfer RNA is filed under the name Candidatus Blochmannia vicinus (nom. nud.). RNAcentral describes it as "tRNA-Ser". It matches the Rfam family "tRNA". Rfam says of the family: Transfer RNA (tRNA) molecules are approximately 80 nucleotides in length. The record is from RNAcentral. RNAcentral also lists the same sequence under 1 other name. Lineage: Bacteria; Pseudomonadati; Pseudomonadota; Gammaproteobacteria; Enterobacterales; Enterobacteriaceae.